GCCGACGUGGCGGAAUUGGCAGACGCGCUGGACUCAAAAUCCAGUACUGGCAACAGUGUGUGGGUUCGAUCCCCUCCGUCGGCA
Molecule: transfer RNA, 84 nt
Filed under: Verrucomicrobiota bacterium
Lineage: Bacteria; Pseudomonadati; Verrucomicrobiota
Also listed under: 2 other names
Description: Verrucomicrobia bacterium (rhizosphere metagenome) tRNA-Leu
Rfam family: tRNA
About the family: Transfer RNA (tRNA) molecules are approximately 80 nucleotides in length. Their secondary structure includes four short double-helical elements and three loops (D, anti-codon, and T loops). Further hydrogen bonds mediate the characteristic L-shaped molecular structure. tRNAs have two regions of fundamental functional importance: the anti-codon, which is responsible for specific mRNA codon recognition, and the 3' end, to which the tRNAs corresponding amino acid is attached (by aminoacyl-tRNA synthetases). tRNAs cope with the degeneracy of the genetic code in two manners: having more than one tRNA (with a specific anti-codon) for a particular amino acid; and 'wobble' base-pairing, i.e. permitting non-standard base-pairing at the 3rd anti-codon position.
Source: RNAcentral